This 154-nucleotide unclassified non-coding RNA is filed under the name fungal sp. RNAcentral describes it as "partial internal transcribed spacer region". The stretch from base 1 to 46 matches the Rfam family "Eukaryotic small subunit ribosomal RNA", at positions 1786 to 1831 of the family's 1831-position model. Lineage: Eukaryota; Fungi. The record is from RNAcentral.
AAGUCGUAACAAGGUUUCCGUAGGUGAACCUGCGGAAGGAUCAAUACGAAGAGUGGAGAGAGGGGAGGAUUUGUUGAAAGAGAUAUAGACAAUAUUAUUACAUUUUACACACACAACACACACACAACUCAUAACAAUGGAUCUCUGGGCUCUU